CACUCUGUCUCCCAUACUGGAAUGCCGUGGCACAAUCUCGGCUCACUGCAACCUCCGCCUCCUGGGUUCAAGCAAUUCUCCUGCCUCAGCCUCCCGAGUAGCCGGGAUUACAGACAUGGGCCACCACGCAUGGCUAAUUUUUGAAUUUUUAGUUGAGAUGGGGUUUCACCAUAUUGGCCAGGCUGGCCUAAAACUCCUGACCUCAAGUGAUCCACCUGCCUCAGCCUCGACAAGCCUUAUAUGAGUAGAGAAAGGGAAAAUUAGAUUAAUAAGCCCUCAGCCACUACUAAUAUUUUUUCCCCCAAUUUAGAUGAGGCAUAAAGAAACAUAUAAUA
RNAcentral lists this long non-coding RNA (335 nucleotides) under Pan troglodytes (chimpanzee). RNAcentral's name for it is "long non-coding RNA NONPTRT000088". Lineage: Eukaryota; Metazoa; Chordata; Mammalia; Primates; Hominidae. The record is from RNAcentral.